This 244-nucleotide ribosomal RNA is filed under the name uncultured bacterium. RNAcentral describes it as "partial 16S ribosomal RNA". It matches the Rfam family "Bacterial small subunit ribosomal RNA", at positions 109 to 353 of the family's 1533-position model. The record is from RNAcentral.
AGUAAUGUAUGGGGAUCUGCCCGAUAGAGGGGGAGUAACCACUGGAAACGGUGGCUAAUACCGCAUAAUGUCUACGGACCAAAGCAGGGGCUCUUCGGACCUUGCACUAUCGGAUGAACCCAUAUGGGAUUAGCUAGUAGGUGGGGUAAAGGCUCACCUAGGCGACGAUCUCUAGCUGGUCUGAGAGGAUGAUCAGCCACACUGGGACUGAGACACGGCCCAGACUCCUACGGGAGGCAGCAUG